RNAcentral lists this ribosomal RNA (495 nucleotides) under Triticum aestivum (bread wheat). RNAcentral describes it as "partial small subunit ribosomal RNA". The record is from RNAcentral. Lineage: Eukaryota; Viridiplantae; Streptophyta; Magnoliopsida; Poales; Poaceae.
AUGGCUACCCGCCUCCUCCACCUGCGCCGCCUCCUCCCGGCCGCGCGCCCGUCCUGCGCCGCCGCGUUCUCCACCGCCGUCACCCCGACCCCGCGGGUCUCAGGCCUCGUGGACGAGAUCUGCGGCCUCAACCUCAUCGAGGCUUCCUCCCUCGCCGAUGCCCUGCGCGGCCGCCUCGGCGUCGACCAGCUCCCUCCCCUAGCCAUCCUCAUGGGCGGCGCAGCCCCGCUGGCCGGAGACGGCGCCGGGGCCGCCGAGGAGGCGAAGCCCAAGGAGGAAAAAAUGGCGUUCGACGUGAAGCUGGAGGGGUUCGACGCCGCGGCGAAGCUUAAGAUUAUCAAGGAGCUGAGGGCGAUCACGAGUUUGGGCCUGAAGGAGGCCAAGGAGCUCGUGGAGAAGGCGCCGGCCGUGCUCAAGGCCGGGGUGCCCAAGGAGGAAGCGGAGAGCAUCGCCGAGAAGAUGCGGGCACUGGGCGCCAAGAUUGUUCUCGAGUGA